UUGGAGGGCAAGUCUGGUGCCAGCAGCCGCGGUAAUUCCAGCUCCAAUAGCGUAUAUUAAAGUUGUUGCAGUUAAAAAGCUCGUAGUUGAAUUUCGGGAUCAGAUUGUCGGUCGUGCCUCAGUACGCACUGGCAUUAUUGGUUCCUACCUUCUGAAGAACCGCGAUGUCAUUAAUUUGGUGUCGUGGGGAAUCAGGACUGUUACUUUGAAAAAAUUAGAGUGUUUAAAGCAGGC
Molecule: ribosomal RNA, 234 nt
Filed under: uncultured Glomus
Lineage: Eukaryota; Fungi; Glomeromycota; Glomeromycetes; Glomerales; Glomeraceae
Description: partial 18S rRNA
Rfam family: Eukaryotic small subunit ribosomal RNA
Source: RNAcentral